AUUGAACGCUGGCGGCAGGCCUAACACAUGCAAGUCGAGCGGAUGAAGGGAGCUUGCUCCUGGAUUCAGCGGCGGACGGGCGAGUAAUGCCUAGGAAUCUGACUGGCAGAGGGGAAUAACGUCCGGAAACGGGCGCUAAUACCGCAUACGUCCUGAGGGAGAAAGUGGGGGAUCUUCGGACCUCACGCUACCAGAUGAGACUAGGACGGAUUAGCUAGUUGGUGGGGUAACGGCCUACCAAGGCGACGAUCCGUAACUGGUCUGAGAGGAUGAUCAGUCACACUGGAACUGAGACACGGUCCAGACUCCUACGGGAGGCAGCAGUGGGGAAUAUUGGACAAUGGGCGAAAGCCUGAUGCAGCCAUGCCGCGUGUGUGAAGAAGGUCUUCGGAUUGUAAAGCACUUUAAGUUGGGAGGAAGGGCAGUAAGUUAAUAUCUUGCUGUUUUGACGUUACCAACAGAAUAAGCACCGGCUAACUUCGUG
RNAcentral lists this ribosomal RNA (484 nucleotides) under uncultured bacterium. RNAcentral's name for it is "partial 16S ribosomal RNA". It matches the Rfam family "Bacterial small subunit ribosomal RNA", at positions 30 to 507 of the family's 1533-position model. The record is from RNAcentral.